AGAGUUUGAUCCUGGCUCAGAACGAACGCUGGCGGCGUGCCUCAUACAUGCAAGUCGGGCGGUUGUAGCAAUACAGCAGCGGCGGACGGGUGAGUAACACGUGGGCAACCUGGCCUUAAGAGGGGGAUAACGUCUCGAAAGGGACGCUAAUACCGCGUAACGCAAAGAGAUCGCAUGAUUUCAUUGCAAAAGGAGCAAUCCGCUUAAGGAUGGGCCCGCGGCCUAUUAGCUAGUUGGUAAGGGUAACGGCCUACCAAGGCGACGAUAGGUAGCCGACCUGAGAGGGUGAACGGCCACACUGGAACUGAGAAACGGUCCAGACUCCUACGGGAGGCAGCAGUAGGGAAUAUUCCGCAAUGGGCGAAAGCCUGACGGAGCAACGCCGCGUGAGUGAAGAAGAUCUUCGGAUUGUAAAGCUCUGUCAACAGGGACGAUGAUGACGGUACCUGAGAAGGAAGCCACGGCAAACUACGUGCCAGCAGCCGCGGUAAUGCGUAGGUGGCAAGCGUUGUCCGGAAUAACUGGGCGUAAAGCGCAUGUAGACGGCAUAGCAAGCCAAGUGUGAAAUUUAGAGGCUUAACCUCUAAACUGCGCUUGGAACUGCUGAGCUUGAGUGCAGGAGAGGCAAGUGGAAUUCCCAGUGUAGCAGUGAAAUGCGUAGAUAUUGGGAGGAACACCGGUGGCGAAGGCGACUUGCUGGACUGCAACUGACGUUGAGAUGCGAAAGCUAGGGGAGCAAACGGGAUUAGAUACCCCGGUAGUCCUAGCUGUAAACGAUGGAUACUAGGUGUGGGAGGUAUCGACCCCUUCCGUGCCGCAGCGAACGCAAUAAGUAUCCCGCCUGGGGAGUACGGUCGCAAGAUUGAAACUCAAAGGAAUUGACGGGGGCCCGCACAAGCAGUGGAGCAUGUGGUUUAAUUCGACGCAACCCGAAGAACCUUACCAGGUCUUGACAUUUAUCUGAUCCGGCAGAGAUGUUGGAGUGCCGCUUUUAGCGGAAAGAUAAAACAGGUGGUGCAUGGUUGUCGUCAGCUCGUGUCGUGAGAUGUUGGGUUAAGUCCCGCAACGAGCGCAACCCUUGAUAACAGUUGCCAGCAAAUAAAGUUGGGCACUCUGUUGUGACUGCCGUAGAUAAUACGGAGGAAGGUGGGGAUGACGUCAAAUCGUCAUGCCCUUUAUGACCUGGGCUACACACGUGCUACAAUGGGGUGGAACAACGGGAAGCAAACCAGCGAUGGCAAGCGGAACCCUAAAAACACCUCUCAGUUCAGAUUGCAGGCUGCAACCCGCCUGCAUGAAGUCGGAAUUGCUAGUAAUCGCGGAUCAGCAUGCCGCGGUGAAUACGUUCCCGGGCCUUGUACACACCGCCCGUCACACCACGAAAGUUGACAACACCCGAAGUCGGUGGGGUAACCUGCAAAGGAGCCAGCCGCCGAA
RNAcentral lists this ribosomal RNA (1437 nucleotides) under uncultured Eubacteriales bacterium. Its description in RNAcentral is "bacterial SSU rRNA". It matches the Rfam family "Bacterial small subunit ribosomal RNA". The record is from RNAcentral. Lineage: Bacteria; Bacillati; Bacillota; Clostridia; Eubacteriales.